RNAcentral lists this non-coding RNA (109 nucleotides) under uncultured Clostridium sp. RNAcentral's name for it is "FMN riboswitch (RFN element)". It matches the Rfam family "FMN riboswitch aptamer (RFN element)". Rfam says of the family: The RFN element is a highly conserved domain that is found frequently in the 5'-untranslated regions of prokaryotic mRNAs that encode for flavin mononucleotide (FMN) biosynthesis and transport proteins. This element is a metabolite-dependent riboswitch that directly binds FMN in the absence of proteins. The record is from RNAcentral. Lineage: Bacteria; Bacillati; Bacillota; Clostridia; Eubacteriales; Clostridiaceae.
AUCUUCAGGGCAGGGUGUAAUUCCCUACCGGUGGUAAAGCCCACGAGCCGUUUGUGCAUGAUUUGGUGAAAUUCCAAAGCCGACAGUAAAGUCUGGAUGAAAGAAGAUA